AAUCCUUAGCUGCUUGCCGGCCGAGAUCAUCAGUGGACGUGGUGUGGGGACGACGUGUUGCUACACCGCAACAAAAAGAAGCGCCCCUCUUACUCGACCCCCCCCCCCCCACACACACACACACGGACACACAUAUAGAUAUUCGAAGAAAACCUGGAGAACACCAUGGUGCUGAACAAGUGGGCCGCGGUGACAAAAAGCGCCCCGCCGGCGGCAGGUUUGCGGCCACUGGCGCGCACGGUCUCGCCAAACCCGAAGCUUCGCCCGGCAGACUACAAAGUUCCCUACGUACUUCGCACCUUUAUCAAGGACCGACACUCGAGUGAGAUGCAGCACAUCGAGAACCGAGGCAUGUAUCGCGAAGAGCUCGCGAUCGAGCGGUCACGCUUUCCGCGCAUGCAGAAGACACUGACGAUUCAGACGGAUGGUUCGCUGAACGAGCGCGAGUUCGAGUUUGCGGUGCCGCCAGUAGUUAUGCUCUUUCAGGAUCGCCUCUCUGCCCAUCGGCAGCGCCAGGUUGCUCUUGCCAAAAUUGGCAAGCUGAAGCGUGCCAAAAGCUGGGAGAUGGCGGUUCGAGGCAAGGAGUCCCUGAACCCUGUGUGCAACGCGCUCGUGUUUCCGUAUUGUGUCCCCAAGAAGAUGCUGGUGCGGCCGCGCACCGUAGACCCACUAAGCGCCAAGAGUAUGGCCGAUAACCGCAAAAGUCGUGACGACUCGUCGUGAAUCGGUGACCGCAGGCACGGGCAUACGUGUUGGGCUCGCCUAUCCAUGGUGUAUGCAUUGCGUUGUCCCAGCCUGAAGGCGUGUGUUUCAGCAAGAGGAUGAAGGGGAAAAAGACAGAAAAAAGCGCACAGUUGGGCAGACUGGACCACGUGAAGGAGUCCGACCAUUAGUGGCAACGGUGGGUUGCUGCUGUUGCUGCUUCAGCUGCUUCUGCCUAUGCGCCGCUUCCUCGUCCUUGUGGAGUGCCGCUGCUUGCGCCUUGACGGGUUCGCCGGGCUCUCCGCCCAGCGCACGCGUACAUACAGUGCCACCUUUCCCACCACUAAACAGCGACGGACAUACGCACGUUCUUCCUCGUUGCCGCUCCUUGACUCGUUCGCUUCAUAUUUUUCUUUGCUUUGGUGCUUGCAUGCCGUCGAUCCGCAUUCAUGG
This 1155-nucleotide unclassified non-coding RNA is filed under the name Leishmania donovani. RNAcentral's name for it is "gene:LdHU3.36.8550(CDS-product:hypothetical_prote in_conserved)". Lineage: Eukaryota; Euglenozoa; Kinetoplastea; Trypanosomatida; Trypanosomatidae. The record is from RNAcentral.